GACGAACGCUGGCGGCGUGCCUAAUGCAUGCAAGUCGAGCGGGCUACGAUCUUCGGAUUGUAGCUUAGCGGCGAACGGGUGAGUAACACGUAGGUAAUCUACCCUUCAGAGGAGGACAACCUCAGGAAACUGAGGCUAAACCUUCAUACGUUCACUGGUAGGGAUACUGGUGAAGAAGGAGUUACCUUAGUGGUAGCUGCUGAAGGAUGAGCCUGCGGCCCAUCAGGUAGUUGGUGAGGUAACGGCUCACCAAGCCGACGACGGGUAGCCGGUCUGAGAGGAUGGCCGGCCACAAGGGCACUGAGAGACGGGCCCUACUCCUACGGGAGGCAGCAGUGGGGGAUUUUGGACAAUGGGCGAAAGCCUGAUCCAGCGACGCCGCGUGGAGGACGAAGCCCUUCGGGGUGUAAACUCCUUUUCUCAGGGAAAAAGGAUGAUGGUACCUGAGGAAUAAGCCCCGGCUAACUACGUG
Molecule: ribosomal RNA, 472 nt
Filed under: uncultured bacterium
Lineage: Bacteria
Description: bacterial SSU rRNA
Rfam family: Bacterial small subunit ribosomal RNA
Source: RNAcentral